GGCCUUGACAUACUAAGAACUUUCCAGAGAUGGAUUGGUGCCUUCGGGAACUUAGAUACAGGUGCUGCAUGGCUGUCGUCAGCUCGUGUCGUGAGAUGUUGGGUUAACGUCCGCAACGAGCGCAACCCUUUUCCUUAUUUGCCAGCGGGUCAUGCCGGGAACUUUAAGGAUACUGCCAGUGACAAACUGGAGGAAGGCGGGGACGACGUCAAGUCAUCAUGGCCCUUACGGCCAGGGCUACACACGUGCUACAAUGGUCGGUACAAAGGGUUGCUACCUCGCGAGAGGAUGCUAAUCUCAAAAAGCCGAUCGUAGUCCGGAUCGCAGUCUGCAACUCGACUGCGUGAAGUCGGAAUCGCUAGUAAUCGCGGAUCAGAAUGCCGCGGUGAAUACGUUCCCGGGCCUUGUACACACCGCCCGUCACACCAUGGGAGUUUGUUGCACCAAAAGUAGGUAGUCUAACCGCAAGGAGGACGCUUACCACGGUGUGGCCGAUGACUGGGGUGAAGUCGUAACAAGGUAGGCGUAGAUGA
RNAcentral lists this ribosomal RNA (533 nucleotides) under uncultured bacterium. Its description in RNAcentral is "bacterial SSU rRNA". It matches the Rfam family "Bacterial small subunit ribosomal RNA", at positions 977 to 1509 of the family's 1533-position model. The record is from RNAcentral.